UGGGGAAUAUUGCACAAUGGGCGCAAGCCUGAUGCAGCCAUGCCGCGUGUGUGAAGAAGGCCUUCGGGUUGUAAAGCACUUUCAGCGAGGAGGAAGGUGGUGGACUUAAUACGUUCAUCAAUUGACGUUACUCGCAGAAGAAGCACCGGCUAACUCCGUGCCAGCAGCCGCGGUAAUACGGAGGGUGCAAGCGUUAAUCGGAAUUACUGGGCGUAAAGCGCACGCAGGCGGUUUGUUAAGUCAGAUGUGAAAUCCCCGGGCUCAACCUGGGAACUGCAUUUGAAACUGGCAAGCUAGAGUCUCGUAGAGGGGGGUAGAAUUCCAGGUGUAGCGGUGAAAUGCGUAGAGAUCUGGAGGAAUACCGGUGGCGAAGGCGGCCCCCUGGACGAAGACUGACGCUCAGGUGCGAAAAGCGUGGGGAGCAAAACAGGAUUAGAUACCCUGGUAGUCCACGCUGUAAACGAUGUCGAUUUUGGAGGUUGUGCCCUUGAGGCGUGGCUUCCGGAGCUAACGCGUUAAAUCGACCGCCUGGGGAGUACGGCCGCAAGGUUAAAACUCAAAUGAAUUGACGGGGUCAUAGCUGUUUCCU
RNAcentral lists this ribosomal RNA (589 nucleotides) under uncultured bacterium. RNAcentral describes it as "partial 16S ribosomal RNA". It matches the Rfam family "Bacterial small subunit ribosomal RNA", at positions 355 to 1375 of the family's 1533-position model. The record is from RNAcentral.